AAUAUUGGACAAUGGGGGCAACCCUGAUCCAGCCAUGCCGCGUGUGUGAAGAAGGUCNNNGGAUUNUAAAGCACUUUAAGUUGNGAGNAAGGGCAGUAAGUUAAUACCUUGCUGUUUUGACGUUACCGACAGAAUAAGCACCGGCUAACUUCGUGCCAGCAGCCGCGGUAAUACGAAGGGCGCAAGCGUUAAUCGGAAUUACUGGGCGUAAAGCGAGCGUAGGUGGUUUGUUAAGUUGGAAGUGAAAGCCCAGAGCUUAACCUGGGAACUGCUUUCAUAACUGCUGGGCUAGAGUACGGUAGAGAGUAGUGGAAUUUCCUGUGUAGCGGUGAAAUGCGUAGAUAUAGGAAGGAACACCAGUGGCGAAGGCGACUACCUGGACUGAUACUGACACUGAGGUGCGAAAGCGUGGGGAGCAAAC
Molecule: ribosomal RNA, 421 nt
Filed under: uncultured bacterium
Lineage: Bacteria
Description: partial 16S ribosomal RNA
Rfam family: Bacterial small subunit ribosomal RNA
Source: RNAcentral